CCUACGGGAGGCAGCAGUGAGGAAUAUUGGUCAAUGGACGAGAGUCUGAACCAGCCAAGUAGCGUGAAGGAUGACUGCCCUAUGGGUUGUAAACUUCUUUUAUAAAGGCAUAAAACGCGGCACGUGUGCCUUUUUGCAUGUACUUUAUGAAUAAGGAUCGGCUAACUCCGUGCCAGCAGCCGCGGUAGUACGGAGUAUCCGAGCGUUGUCCGGAUUUAUUGGUUUAAAGGGAGGGUAGGUGGGUGGUUAAGUCAGUUGUGAAAGUUUGCGGCUCAACCGUAAAAUUGCAAUUGAUACUGGCAGUCUUGAGUACAGUUGAGGUAAGCGGAAUGCGUGGUGUAGCGGUGAAAUGCUUAGAUAUCACGAAGAACCCCGAUUGCGAAGGCAGCUUACUAAACUGUGACUGACAUUGAUGCUCGAAAGUGUGGGUAUCAAACAGGAGUAGAUACCCUGGUAGUC
Molecule: ribosomal RNA, 459 nt
Filed under: uncultured bacterium
Lineage: Bacteria
Description: partial 16S ribosomal RNA
Rfam family: Bacterial small subunit ribosomal RNA
Source: RNAcentral